Salvelinus sp. IW2-2015 is the source of this 655-nucleotide long non-coding RNA. RefSeq lists it as uncharacterized. The record is from RefSeq and is a predicted model, not a curated record. Lineage: Eukaryota; Metazoa; Chordata; Actinopteri; Salmoniformes; Salmonidae.
GAAGGGAAUAGCUGUUCAGCAAAGCAACUUGAAAUAAUCAAACAUGAAGAGUUUUGUUGCAAAGUAUAUCAGUGUCCAUGCUGUGAUUUUGGGACUGCUGCUACCUCAGGCAAUCCCAUCAAUGUGACGGGAGUGUGGCGAAAUGAGCUGGGCUCUGUGCUUGAUAUUGAGGGGCGUCGGUUCUGAGCUCCGAGCCUUUAUCAGAGUGCAGUGGAGACUGCUCCAGGAGUCACGGGUCCAGAACAACAGGCCAAGUUACUGGUGUGACUAGUAAUCGGGUCUGCGAACCUCUGUGGCUUUUCUGUGUUAUGGGAGGCAGGUUCCUGUAGCGCUUGGGUUGGUCAGUGUUUCCAACUGCCUGAUGGGAAGCGAGUGCUGAAGACCCUGUGGAUGCUGCGCUCUGUGGCUUCAUGCCCUGCAACAACUGGAAGAGUACCAGGAUGGGAGAGGACACUUUCAUCUUCAUUUCCUGAAAGCAGAAUGUACUGAUCAUCUGGCAAUGCUGCAUUUGGUUUGCUGCCCUCUACUGAAUUUUCUUUUAUACUCCCUGAGCUGAUCUCUCAUCCAUGCCAUAAACUAUGAAAUUGUUCAAUUCCAUGAAUAAAAAUGUGUUAUUUACCUUGUCUUGCCUGACAUAAAUAAAAGUUUAAACUCA